RNAcentral lists this microRNA precursor (98 nucleotides) under Cebus imitator (Panamanian white-faced capuchin). Its description in RNAcentral is "miRNA (ENSCCAG00000031310.1)". Lineage: Eukaryota; Metazoa; Chordata; Mammalia; Primates; Cebidae. The record is from RNAcentral.
AGGUGGGAGGAUCACUUGAGCCUGGGAGGUUGAGGCUGCAGUAAUGUGUAAUUGCACCACUGCACUCCAGCCUGAGUGACAGAGUGAGACCCUGUCUC